Anthonomus grandis grandis is the source of this 2413-nucleotide long non-coding RNA. RefSeq lists it as uncharacterized. NCBI's taxonomy places the organism in Eukaryota, Metazoa, Arthropoda, Insecta, Coleoptera, Curculionidae. The transcript has 3 exons. The record is from RefSeq and is a predicted model, not a curated record.
AUACAUAUAUAUCUUGUGAGAUUUAUGUUAUUGCUUUGGUGCAGUUUCUGUGUUGUAGUUUUCAGUAAUAUGUACAUUUAAAUUAGGAUCUUUGUGCUAGAGUAUUAACAAAUUGUUGUCAAAAUUUUAAUAAUGUCAUCUAGGAGCAAAAAAUUGCUUACGUUAGCUUUAAAUUCAAAAUUAAAAGAUGAUAUCUGUCAUUUCAAAAGUAAUAAUUACCAGAGGAAACUAUCCAAAGUUGAACUUGACCCAGGCUACAUUACGAAUCUUCCGAAACAUCUGAUGACGAUAUAUAUUGUUAUGACAUAAAUAAGCCUGGAACUUCUUAUUCAUACAAAAAGAAAAUUGUAGUCAUAGAUGACAUUCCAUUGACUAAUAAGGAAUGUACAAAUAUACAAAUAGAUUGCUUGUCAAACUGCCAUGACCCAAAUAGAGCUGGACCUUCGUCUACAAAUAAAAUCGUGAUCUUAAGUAACAUUCUUUUAAAUCAGGGAUGUAAAAAUUUUGGAAUGCAAUUAUGCGAAGCAAUUGAUGAUACAAUUUUUAUACGAGGAAUUGUUACAAACAUAUUUGACAACGCGAUGAAGCAGACAAGCCAAAAUAGCACCGAAAAUUUGUGAAAGGCAUUAUACUUGAUGUCCUAGAUAAUUUAAUACAAAUGGUAGUGUUUACAAAAAAAAAGGUGAAGUUAGAAAACGUAAAAGGUAUUUUGAACUAACUAAAACUGAAAGGAAAGAAUCCAAGGCAAAGAAAAGAAAAAUCGAGCAUUUAAUAAAAGAAGCAUGCGGUGAAUCCUGUGUAAAAAAAUGCUCAAAAAAAAAUAGAAAAUGCGGAACGUAUACAGUUAUACGAAGAAUAUUGGAAACUAUCUGCAGAGAAUCAAAGGACUUUUGUAUUCAGUUGCCUUACCAAUAGAGCCACGAAAAGAAAAUAGUCGGUGAACGACCCUCCAGAAGAAGCAAAACCCUAAAUUAUUUUUUCACAGAUAAAGCGAGCAAUAAACAAGAAGUGUGAAAAAAGUUUUUUCUUUUUACUCUGAGUUAUAAUGCAAAUAAUGAUAAAAUAAUACGAAAUUUUUUAAGCCUUAUUGCAAAACCAGACGGCCGGACAUCAAAUUGUGAAAAAACAAAAAUUGAUCGAAAUAUUAUUAUUGAGCAUAUAAAAACAUUCAAACCAUCCAUUUCACACUACCGAAGGGAGCAUACUCCCAACCGCCUGUAUCUCCCAAGUGAUAUUACUGUUAAGCUUAAGUAUGACGAUUUUAUGAAUAAAUUUUCCAAUGCUUCCUUUUCAUAUUACUUAUACAGACAUGUGGUUGCCAGUCAAAAUAUAUCAUUUAGUAAAUUGGGCCAUGAAGAGUGCGAACUUUUUAAAAAACAUGAUAGUGCUCAUAAGAGAAAAAACCUGGAUCCCUUAUGCAAAAAUUGCAAUGAUUGGGAAAAACAUCAUCAAAAAUAUAAGAAUGCCCGCAGAAUGUACCAAAUAGAUGCAAAUGCAACACAAACUACAUUCGAAAUCGCUAUCUUCGCCGAUCUCCAGAAAGUAAUCAUGUUACCUAGAUGUGAUACUUUUAAGGAAAUCAUUUUUAUGCCAAGACUCGUGGCAGACAACGAAAGUUUCGUUCCGGCUGGCAAAUUAGGCAAAAUGUCCCCAUACGCCGUUUUGUGGCAUGAUGCUAUGCAAGGGAGGUCAAAAGAAAAUAUCAUUAGCAGUUUUUAUCAAUACUUCCUAUCCAUGAGAGAUACGAAGUGUGUAAUUACGAUAAACAAAGCAAGAUAUGUACAAAAUUUAAGGAACAAAAAAGUUAAAUUUUUAAUUGUUUAGAAAAAAAAUUAAUACUCUGUAUCUCGAAAAUGAAGCCUCUGCAGAAAUAUGUUAUAUCAACUUUUUAAUUUAUAAACUUACAAGGAAUCACCCUUUAAAAUUAAAGUCAUCACUUAUGCUAUACCCUGUAUAAACAUUUUCUAACCUCUUAAAAUAUUCUUGGAAAGUGAUAGCACAUAUCUGAAAAAUAUUUUGCAGAAAUAUGAGUGCCAUUGGUUUUAUUUAAUUUUUGGUGCCACCUUAGGCUACUAUAAGCACCAAAUAUGGCUACUAAUUAUUUUUUUUACAAGAAAAAAAAAUAAAAAUCACUACUAUCACUUAAUUUCACAUAAGAAAUGUUAAUUUAAUGUCAAUAUAAGGUUAAAUUGAGAUUCUAAAACAAUGGAGAUUACUUUGCCUUAAAUGGUUUCGUUCUAUGAUAUACAGGGUGUUCGAGGUUCAUUCAAAUUUUACAAAUUUCAAAGCUUCAUUUCUCGCUUUUUUUAAAUGGAACACCCUGCUUAUUUUUUUAUGCAUUUAAUAAAGAAUUAAAAAAUGGACAUGUAUGUUAUAUUAUUUGUAGUUAUAAUAUUUUUAGAAGAACCAGGAA